Molecule: long non-coding RNA, 839 nt
Filed under: Homo sapiens (human)
Lineage: Eukaryota; Metazoa; Chordata; Mammalia; Primates; Hominidae
Description: HSALNT0389138
Source: RNAcentral
AUUUCAGGCUCUGCUGUGUCAAGUCGGGGAGCGGCUCUUUGCUCAGCUUAGAGAACUGGAAGAGGCCGCAACCUUCUGCCUGCUGGAGGCUGGAGGAUGGAUGGAGCCUGGAGCCUGGGACACUACCUUGCUGUGGUUGGUGGUGGCGACAGAGCAGUAAGAGGGUGGCCGGCAGCAGGAGCUUGUCCUGCUGGGCUGGAGGACUAGGAGAAGGAAGAGGCACCACCACAUGCUGGAGGCUGAAGCCUGGAGUCUGUGCCACCAUGGCUCGCCUCGCUGUGGUUGGUGGUGACGCUGGAGACUGCAGCUGGGCCACAGUGGUAGAAAUGUGAUGGGGUUUUUGGGGAACAGGUGGCGUUUGAUUGUAAGAGUAAGUUCCUUAGAGGUUGAAUAAUUUUGAUGGGCAGAAGUGUUCUAAAGUAUGCUUUUAUAAACCUCAUAUCACAGUAAUCCAUUGUUGAAACAUGGCUUAAUGCAUGUUUUAGGAUGGGUGAAGGAAGGAGAGAAGGGAAAAAGAAAAGAUGAAGAAAGGAAGAAAAAAAGAAAAAAGAAGGUGAAGGAAAGAGAGAGGAAGAAAGAAAAUGAAAAUAUGAGCAUGUUAUGAAGAAAACUGAAAAUAUGUAAUUAUUUUUUCUUAAUUUUAGCAGGUGUAGAAACUCUUAAGGCUGAUGAUGAGAUAGCUAUUUUUGCCAUAAAUUACAUGAAUUAUAUUCAUUUUUACAUUCUUAUAAUACAGCAUUAGAAUAUGUUGUGUUAUACGUAGACUCCUUAGAAGAUACACAUAAAUAAAAGAAAAAAAUUAAAAGCUGCUUUCAACUUACUAUCAUUCAUGUCCAUCU